UGCAGUCGAGCGAACAGAUGAAGUGCUUGCACUUCUGACGUUAGCGGCGAACGGGUGAGUAACACGUAAGGAAUCUACCUAUAAGCGGGGGAUAACAUUCGGAAACGGGUGCUAAUACCGCAUAAUAUCUUCUUCCGCAUGGAAGAAGAUUGAAAGACGGCUCUGCUGUCACUUAUAGAUGACCUUGCGGUGCAUUAGUUAGUUGGUGGGGUAACGGCCUACCAAGACGAUGAUGCAUAGCCGACCUGAGAGGGUGAUCGGCCACAUUGGGACUGAGACACGGCCCAAACUCCUACGGGAGGCAGCAGUAGGGAAUCUUCCGCAAUGGGCGAAAGCCUGACGGAGCAAUGCCGCGUGAGUGAAGAAGGCCUUCGGGUCGUAAAACUCUGUUAUAAGAGAAGAACAAAUUGUAGAGUAACUGCUACAGUCUUGACGGUAUCUUAUCAGAAAGCCACGGCUAACUACGUGCCAGCAGCCGCGGUAAUACGUAGGUGGCAAGCGUUGUCCGGAUUUAUUGGGCGUAAAGGGAGCGCAGGUGGUUUCUUAAGUCUGAUGUGAAAGCCCACGGCUUAACCGUGGAGGGUCAUUGGAAACUGGGAAACUUGAGUACAGAAGAGGAAUGUGGAACUCCAUGUGUAGCGGUGGAAUGCGUAGAUAUAUGGAAGAACACCAGUGGCGAAGGCGACAUUCUGGUCUGUUACUGACACUGAGGCUCGAAAGCGUGAGGAGCAAACAGGAUUAGAUACCCUGGUAGUCCACGCCGUAAACGAUGAGUGCUA
Molecule: ribosomal RNA, 779 nt
Filed under: Aerococcus sp. X16-CRBM-E14
Lineage: Bacteria; Bacillati; Bacillota; Bacilli; Lactobacillales; Aerococcaceae
Description: bacterial SSU rRNA
Rfam family: Bacterial small subunit ribosomal RNA
Source: RNAcentral